UACAGAGGGGGCAAGCGUUGUUCGGAAUUACUGGGCGUAAAGGGCGCGUAGGCGGCCUCUUAAGUCGAACGUGAAAUCCCCGGGCUCAACCCGGGAACUGCGUCCGAUACUGGGGGGCUUGAAUCCGGGAGAGGAGAGUGGAAUUCCCAGUGUAGAGGUGAAAUUCGUAGAUAUUGGGAAGAACACCGGUGGCGAAGGCGGCUCUCUGGACCGAGACUGACGCUGAGGCGCGAAAGCGUGGGGAGCAAACAGG
This 253-nucleotide ribosomal RNA is filed under the name uncultured bacterium. Its description in RNAcentral is "partial 16S ribosomal RNA". It matches the Rfam family "Bacterial small subunit ribosomal RNA", at positions 524 to 776 of the family's 1533-position model. The record is from RNAcentral.